CAAAACAAGAGACCGAUAAGUAUUGUUGAAAUUUUGUUACAAGGCAGUGAUGAAUCGCAUGAUGACGUUGACAGAAAGUCUAAAAAGUCAAUAACAAAGCUGAUGAGUGUGAUCCUGGGCGGUCUGACUGUUUUCCUAGUAAUGGUCAUCAUCUGUCUGGUUGUUAAAAUCGGGAAACUUCAGAAAGCUGCCAGUGUAGAAGAGAAUCCACAACAGCAUGCGAACCUGGGCUCUGAUGACCUGAACUACGCAGCAGUGAAUUUCAGUGCAAAAGCAAGAAGAAGAGAAGUGGAGCCCAAUGUUGUGUAUUCUGCUACUAGAUAGACUGAGGAAUCAAGAAAUGCUGUUCAGGAUGUAACUGAUGCUUUGUCAUGUUAAUCUGCAGUUGUGCUUUUGUGUGGGUGGUGGACA
Long non-coding RNA from Micropterus salmoides (largemouth bass), 411 nucleotides. RefSeq lists it as uncharacterized. The transcript is spliced from 4 exons. The record is from RefSeq and is a predicted model, not a curated record. Lineage: Eukaryota; Metazoa; Chordata; Actinopteri; Centrarchiformes; Centrarchidae.